Molecule: ribosomal RNA, 253 nt
Filed under: uncultured bacterium
Lineage: Bacteria
Description: partial 16S ribosomal RNA
Rfam family: Bacterial small subunit ribosomal RNA
Source: RNAcentral
UACGGGGGGGGCAAGCGUUGUUCGGAAUUACUGGGCGUAAAGGGCUCGUAGGCGGCCAACUAAGUCGGAUGUGAAAUCCCCGGGCUUAACCUGGGAACUGCGUUUGAAACUGGAAGGCUAGAGUGUGGCAGAGGGGGGUGGAAUUCCACGUGUAGCAGUGAAAUGCGUAGAGAUGUGGAGGAACACCGAUGGCGAAGGCAGCCCCCUGGGCUAACACUGACGCUCAUGCACGAAAGCGUGGGGAGCAAACAGG